Molecule: ribosomal RNA, 612 nt
Filed under: Rhodotorula mucilaginosa
Lineage: Eukaryota; Fungi; Basidiomycota; Microbotryomycetes; Sporidiobolales; Sporidiobolaceae
Description: eukaryotic LSU rRNA
Rfam family: 5.8S ribosomal RNA (bases 188-341)
Source: RNAcentral
CUUCCGGGUUGGGNNACCUGCGGAAGGAUCAUUAGUGAAUAUAGGACGUCCAACUUAACUUGGAGUCCGAACUCUCACUUUCUAACCCUGUGCACUUGUUUGGGAUAGUAACUCUCGCAAGAGAGCGAACUCCUAUUCACUUAUAAACACAAAGUCUAUGAAUGUAUUAAAUUUUAUAACAAAAUAAAACUUUCAACAACGGAUCUCUUGGCUCUCGCAUCGAUGAAGAACGCAGCGAAAUGCGAUAAGUAAUGUGAAUUGCAGAAUUCAGUGAAUCAUCGAAUCUUUGAACGCACCUUGCGCUCCAUGGUAUUCCGUGGAGCAUGCCUGUUUGAGUGUCAUGAAUACUUCAACCCUCCUCUUUCUUAAUGAUUGAAGAGGUGUUUGGUUUCUGAGCGCUGCUGGCCUUUACGGUCUAGCUCGUUCGUAAUGCAUUAGCAUCCGCAAUCGAACUUCGGAUUGACUUGGCGUAAUAGACUAUUCGCUGAGGAAUUCUAGUCUUCGGACUAGAGCCGGGUUGGGUUAAAGGAAGCUUCUAAUCAGAAUGUCUACAUUUUAAGAUUAGAUCUCAAAUCAGGUAGGACUACCCGCUGAACUUAAGCAUAUCAAAAG